GCCAGCAGCCAUAUCUGCUGGCCAGUGCAACUGCAACUCACAACUGGCAGCCCACUGAAGCAAAGCAGGUGUGAGCCUGGUCAGUACCUGGAUGGGAGACUCCUGGGAAAAACUAAGGUUGCUGCUGGAA
RNAcentral lists this ribosomal RNA (130 nucleotides) under Lepisosteus oculatus (spotted gar). The record is from RNAcentral. Lineage: Eukaryota; Metazoa; Chordata; Actinopteri; Semionotiformes; Lepisosteidae.